This is a long non-coding RNA of Carassius auratus (goldfish), 1305 nucleotides long. RefSeq lists it as uncharacterized. The record is from RefSeq and is a predicted model, not a curated record. The transcript is spliced from 3 exons. Lineage: Eukaryota; Metazoa; Chordata; Actinopteri; Cypriniformes; Cyprinidae.
UCCAGUCAGCGUGAUUGGCGCUCGAGCUCGGUACUCUGCGCAGUGCUGCUGUUUCUCACAGACUCUCGGCUCACAUACACACAGACUGUGGCGAAACCAGCAGCCACACGCGCAGCCUAAGCGCUCUGUCUCUCUCUCUAUCUGUCUCUCUCUUUUUCUCCUCCUCUUUGAGAAUGGUCCACCCGGUGCCUGAGGUUCAGCUGUCGCGGCCUGCCGCCCGUGUCUGAUCUCUCACCCACACAUACGCGCGCUCAAUACUAAUCAUGAUGUGAGAGGUGGGUACUGAGUAUCGUGCCCUCUCUUGCGUCUGCCGCUGCUUGGACCUGCUUAUAGUACCAGCCUCAGCUUUCCUGCCUGCUUGCUGCCCACAUCAGUGAAAGGACUGCUCGCACAACCCCAAAAUCUCUGUGACCCCGAACGACCCCUACACAAACACACAGAGCUGAAGUGGGCACUGUUGAAUCAGCCAAUAAGAUUCAAGGAUUUUGCUUUGGGAUCCAUUACUGCAGUUCUCUUUUUCAUACAGUAGCAGCAACAUUUUUUUUUCUCUUUUUGGUUUGGCCUGGUGUGCAUCGGCAAGGAAAGAGGAGCUUAAUGAUCUAAGAAGAAAAGGAACAUUCUCAGAAGGACAAACACAAGCACACCCAAAGCACUUUGGGAUAUUAGGGAUUGAAGUUUGCUUGCCACUAAAGCGUGUUGAGAUGGCGAUGAACAUGGCUCACAUGCGGGACACGAAAUGGCUGACGCUGGAGGUGUGUCGGGAGUUUCAGCGGGGAACGUGCGCUCGCUCCGAUGCUGAGUGCAAGUUUGCACAUCCCGCCAAGAGCUGCCAGGUGGAGAACGGGAGAGUCAUCGCGUGCUUUGACUCACUGAAGAUAGAUAGAUGGAUAGAUAGAUCACUGAGUGGUCCUGUGAGUGUGGUAGCAUUCAACAAAUGUGAUCCAACUCAACAAGCAGUGGAGAACAGGACUGAAGCAGUCUCACCAUGUAUGGAAACAGCAGCGAAUGCCCUACAGCAGCCCAACCACUGUUAGUAACACACUCAUGGAAUGUACACUCACAGAAAACACAGACACACUGGGCAUUCAUUACAGAAUAAAUGGCUGUUUGAAAGCAUAAACAUGAGCGCAGUAAAUCCACAGAGGACGUUUUCAUUUCUGGAUCACGCCAUAGAUACAAGCCAGCACUGGGAUCUAACACACACGCACACAAAGCUUGAACCUGACCAGAAGACUGAGAAAAAUGUGUAUCUGACAUACUGUCCCAAUGUGUCUUUAUAACAAAAUCAUUCAAUUCCUGCUCCCU